GGCCGGCUGGUCUAACGGAAUGACGCUCCUUUUUCUCAUAUGGGCCCGGAGCAGUGUGGGUUCGAAUCCCGCGCUGGUCG
Molecule: transfer RNA, 80 nt
Filed under: Auriculariales sp. MPI-PUGE-AT-0066
Lineage: Eukaryota; Fungi; Basidiomycota; Agaricomycetes; Auriculariales
Description: tRNA-Glu
Rfam family: tRNA
About the family: Transfer RNA (tRNA) molecules are approximately 80 nucleotides in length. Their secondary structure includes four short double-helical elements and three loops (D, anti-codon, and T loops).
Source: RNAcentral